GUGGGGAAUAUUGGGCAAUGGACGCAAGUCUGACCCAGCAACGCCGCGUGAAGGAAGAAGGCUUUCGGGUUGUAAACUUCUUUGACAGGGGAAGAGCAGAAGACGGUACCCUGAAAACAAGCCACGGCUAACUACGUGCCAGCAGCCGCGGUAAUACGUAGGUGGCAAGCGUUGUCCGGAUUUACUGGGUGUAAAGGGCGUGCAGCCGGGUCGGCAAGUCAGAUGUGAAAUGCAUGGGCUUAACCCAUGAACUGCAUUUGAAACUGUCGAUCUUGAGUGCCGGAGAGGUAAUCGGAAUUCCUUGUGUAGCGGUGAAAUGCGUAGAUAUAAGGAAGAACACCAGUGGCGAAGGCGGAUUACUGGACGGUAACUGACGGUGAGGCGCGAAAGCGUGGGGAGCAAACAGG
RNAcentral lists this ribosomal RNA (407 nucleotides) under uncultured rumen bacterium. Its description in RNAcentral is "bacterial SSU rRNA". It matches the Rfam family "Bacterial small subunit ribosomal RNA", at positions 354 to 776 of the family's 1533-position model. The record is from RNAcentral.